CGGCUGACGAGGCGCGCCGGCGCUCGUACGCUGACGCCGUGCGCGACGGCGAGGAGGCGGUGGCGGCGAUCGCGGCCCCGACGGUCGC
This 88-nucleotide transfer RNA is filed under the name Methylopila jiangsuensis. RNAcentral describes it as "tRNA-Val". The record is from RNAcentral. Lineage: Bacteria; Pseudomonadati; Pseudomonadota; Alphaproteobacteria; Hyphomicrobiales; Methylopilaceae.